UACGUAGGGUGCAAGCGUUGUCCGGAAUUAUUGGGCGUAAAGAGCUCGUAGGCGGUCUGUCGCGUCGGCUGUGAAAUCCCGAGGCUCAACCUCGGGUCUGCAGUCGAUACGGGCAAACUAGAGUAUUGCAGGGGAGACUGGAAUUCCUGGUGUAGCGGUGAAAUGCGCAGAUAUCAGGAGGAACACCGGUGGCGAAGGCGGGUCUCUGGGCAACAACUGACGCUGAGGAGCGAAAGCGUGGGGAGCGAACAGGAUUAGAACCUUCGUAGUCAGU
This 274-nucleotide ribosomal RNA is filed under the name uncultured bacterium. RNAcentral's name for it is "partial 16S ribosomal RNA". It matches the Rfam family "Bacterial small subunit ribosomal RNA", at positions 524 to 798 of the family's 1533-position model. The record is from RNAcentral.